CUCCGACUCCUCGCAUGGGGUGUCGGGAAAGAUUUCAUCGGUAUGGGAUGGGGUCGCGUCCUAUCAGGUAGUCGGCGGGGUAACGGCCCACCGAGCCUACGACGGGUAGCCGGCCUGAGAGGGCGACCGGCCACAUUGGGACUGAGAUACGGCCCAGACUCCUACGGGAGGCAGCAGUGGGGAAUAUUGCACAAUGGGCGCAAGCCCGAUGCAGCGACGCCGCGUGCGGGAUGACGGCCUUCGGGUUGUAAACCGCUUUUGAUCGGGAGCAAGCCUUCGGGUGAGUGUACCUUUCGAAUAAGCACCGGCUAACUACGUGCCAGCAGCCGCGGUAAUACGUAGGGUGCAAGCGUUAUCCGGAAUUAUUGGGCGUAAAGGGCUCGUAGGCGGUUCGUCGCGUCCGGUGUGAAAGUCCAUCGCUUAACGGUGGAUCGUCGCCGGGUACGGGCGG
This 451-nucleotide ribosomal RNA is filed under the name uncultured Bifidobacterium sp. RNAcentral's name for it is "bacterial SSU rRNA". It matches the Rfam family "Bacterial small subunit ribosomal RNA", at positions 173 to 639 of the family's 1533-position model. Lineage: Bacteria; Bacillati; Actinomycetota; Actinomycetes; Bifidobacteriales; Bifidobacteriaceae. The record is from RNAcentral.